Molecule: ribosomal RNA, 906 nt
Filed under: Triticum aestivum (bread wheat)
Lineage: Eukaryota; Viridiplantae; Streptophyta; Magnoliopsida; Poales; Poaceae
Description: partial small subunit ribosomal RNA
Source: RNAcentral
AUGAUCCCAGACCAGAAUUAUACCUCUACUACAAUUCAAAUCGCACAUUCCCAGUCAGUAAUUGAAGACUUACUUCGUGGGCGGUUCCCUGUCCUUCCGUAUCAUCUUAUCCAAAUCGUCGUAAGGAAACACCAAAUUAUGCAGGCUGGCCGCCUUGAUCCAUUUGGGCAGCAUCUUCUUCCCGAUGAGCGCGAAGACCCGCUCCCGCAUCGGGCCAGGGGACUCCCUGGGGUACCUCUGCAGGAAGAACUCGCAGAAGGCGAGCUCCAGCACGAACUGGCCCAGGAACCACAGCCUGGAGUGGCCGUUCCGCACGUGGCGCGUGCGCGUGCGCUCGGAGGAGGGGUCCAGGUGCUGGAAGGCGAGGUAGAGGAGGACGUCGAAGUGGCGCGCGGGGCAGUCGUCGCCCUCGCCGAGCGUCUCGGAGGGGGCGAGCGGGUAGCCGAGCGCCUGCUUGGCCUCGAGGAGGUACUCGUCCAUCCAGGUGCGGUCGGCGGCGGAGAGCGGCGAGGAGGGGAGGCAGGAGGAGAGCAGCGGCAGCGACUUGAGCGACAGCUGCGGGCUGUUGAGGAACCGCUGGGUGAGGCGCUCGUCGUCGAGCGGCGGCUUGAGGAUGAACCGCCGCGGCGGGUGCUUCUUCUUGGGCGAGACGGCCUUCUUCCGCUGCGCGAGCUCCCGGAGGAGCCGGCUCGGGCUGUUCGCCGGCUCCGAGGGGGAGGCCUGCGGGGGCGGAGGGGUCUGGUCGGCCGCCACGGCGAGCACGCGGGCCCGGCGCCGCGUGGCGGGGAGGUGGAGGGGCGAGAAGGUGAGCGCCUGGAACGCCAUGGCGGCCGGUGCCAUGGUGGUGGCCGCUGGGUUUUGCGGUUUGGGGGCUGGAGGAAGGGGGAGGAAGGAGGAAGAGGAUAA